Molecule: non-coding RNA, 408 nt
Organism: Jatropha curcas
Lineage: Eukaryota; Viridiplantae; Streptophyta; Magnoliopsida; Malpighiales; Euphorbiaceae
Source: RefSeq, a predicted model, not a curated record
GCAAGGGCAGCACCACCACGAGCUCCACCUCCAUCGCGCCUCCUCUCUCGCUCUCUCUGCCAUCGCUAGUCGCCGCCGCUUGACGCUGCUCCUCCUGCGCGCGACUUCGGUGAGUGCUGCAGCCAGUUUUGGUCGAUCCAGUGAAUGCUCUUUCAUUUCGUUCCAUUGAGAUUGGUUGAAGGCCAGUCGAUUUGGUUUCGUCACCGAUCAAGCAAACUCGGACAAUAAUAUUUUGUUUGGAGGAUUAUAAAAUUCAGAAAUGCGAGGACAAAGGUUGGAAGCAUGUGGCUAGAAAGGCAGUCCUUUUAGAGGACAAUAAAGAACUGUAAUAGAUGGAAAGAAGAAUCGUGGAGUCUAAUUGAAUGAACGAGAUAUGGUUCGAUAGGAGUAAUAAUCAUUGUAUCAAAU